RNAcentral lists this ribosomal RNA (462 nucleotides) under uncultured Helicobacteraceae bacterium. RNAcentral describes it as "bacterial SSU rRNA". It matches the Rfam family "Bacterial small subunit ribosomal RNA", at positions 1002 to 1471 of the family's 1533-position model. The record is from RNAcentral. Lineage: Bacteria; Pseudomonadati; Campylobacterota; Epsilonproteobacteria; Campylobacterales; Helicobacteraceae.
AGAGAUAGAGUGGUGCCUUCGGGAGCUUUUAUACAGGUGCUGCACGGCUGUCGUCAGCUCGUGUCGUGAGAUGUUGGGUUAAGUCCCGCAACGAGCGCAACCCUCGUCACUAGUUACUAACGGUUCGGCCGAGGACUCUAGUGAGACUGCCUUCGUAAGGAGGAGGAAGGUGAGGACGACGUCAAGUCAUCAUGGCCCUUACGGCUAGGGCAACACACGUGCUACAAUGGCCAGGACAGUGAGACGCGAUACCGCGAGGUGGAGCAAAUCUACAAACCUGGUCUCAGUUCGGAUUGUAGUCUGCAACUCGACUACAUGAAGCUGGAAUCACUAGUAAUCGUAGAUCAGCUAUGCUACGGUGAAUACGUUCCCGGGUCUUGUACUCACCGCCCGUCACACCAUGGGAGUUGAUUUCACCCGAAGCGGGGAAGCUAAACUGGCUACCCUCCACGGUGGAAUCAG